RNAcentral lists this ribosomal RNA (286 nucleotides) under uncultured bacterium. RNAcentral describes it as "partial 16S ribosomal RNA". It matches the Rfam family "Bacterial small subunit ribosomal RNA", at positions 521 to 806 of the family's 1533-position model. The record is from RNAcentral.
UAAUAAGUAGGGGGGGAGCGUUGUCCGGAUUUAUUGGGUGUAAAGGGCGUGUAGGCGGCCCGGAAAGUCGAGUGUGAAAUACCCCGGGUCAACUGGGGAGGGACGCUCGAGACAUUCGGGCUUGAGGGCAGGAGAGGGAAGUGGAAUUCCCGGUGUAGCGGUGAAAUGCGUGGAUAUCGGGAGGAACACCAGUGGCGAAGGUGGCUUCCUGGACUGCACCUGACGGUGGGGCGCGAAAGACAGGGGAGCGAACAGGCUUAGAUACCCCCGUAGUCCGGCCCCUAAA